GCCCUCUCAGGUUCACAACCGGAGAGUUUCCAGUACUCUACCAGACAUGACUAUGGGAGGGAGAGUCAAGCAGAGACCUACCCAUUCCAUUCCUAGCUUGGGCUUUGGCUAGAGAGUGGAAGAGAAUCUGCUACAAAU
Molecule: small nucleolar RNA, 138 nt
Organism: Tachyglossus aculeatus (Australian echidna)
Lineage: Eukaryota; Metazoa; Chordata; Mammalia; Monotremata; Tachyglossidae
Source: RefSeq, a predicted model, not a curated record